This 329-nucleotide ribosomal RNA is filed under the name uncultured eukaryote. Its description in RNAcentral is "partial 18S ribosomal RNA". It matches the Rfam family "Eukaryotic small subunit ribosomal RNA", at positions 1470 to 1796 of the family's 1831-position model. The record is from RNAcentral.
CCCUUAGAUGUUCUGGGCCGCACGCGCGCUACACUGAUGCAUUCAACGAGUCUAAAACCUGCACUGAUAGGGGUGGGUAAUCUUUUGAAUGUGCAUCGUGAUUGGGAUAGAUGAUUGCAAUUUUUCAUCUUCAACGAGGAAUGCCUAGUAAACGCAAGUCAUCAGCUUGCAUUGAUUACGUCCCUGCCCUUUGUACACACCGCCCGUCGCUCCUACCGAUUGAAUGAUCCGAUGAAUAUCAUGGAUUGAGGAUGCAAGUAGGUUCGCCUAUCUUCAUCUUCGAGAAGUGAAGUAAAUCUUAUCAUUUAGAGGAAGGAGAAGUCGUAACA